RNAcentral lists this transfer RNA (74 nucleotides) under Bacteroidota bacterium. Its description in RNAcentral is "Bacteroidetes bacterium tRNA-Val". It matches the Rfam family "tRNA". From Rfam's summary of the family: Transfer RNA (tRNA) molecules are approximately 80 nucleotides in length. Their secondary structure includes four short double-helical elements and three loops (D, anti-codon, and T loops). Further hydrogen bonds mediate the characteristic L-shaped molecular structure. tRNAs have two regions of fundamental functional importance: the anti-codon, which is responsible for specific mRNA codon recognition, and the 3' end, to which the tRNAs corresponding amino acid is attached (by aminoacyl-tRNA synthetases). tRNAs cope with the degeneracy of the genetic code in two manners: having more than one tRNA (with a specific anti-codon) for a particular amino acid; and 'wobble' base-pairing, i.e. permitting non-standard base-pairing at the 3rd anti-codon position. Lineage: Bacteria; Pseudomonadati; Bacteroidota. The record is from RNAcentral.
GGGCUCUUAGCUCAGUGGUUUAGAGCGCUCGCCUCACACGCGAGAGGUCACAGGUUCGAAUCCCGUAGGGCCCA